RNAcentral lists this ribosomal RNA (497 nucleotides) under uncultured bacterium. RNAcentral's name for it is "partial 16S ribosomal RNA". It matches the Rfam family "Bacterial small subunit ribosomal RNA", at positions 28 to 507 of the family's 1533-position model. The record is from RNAcentral.
GAUGAACGCUGGCGGCGUGCCUAAUACAUGCAAGUCGAGCGAACAGACGAGGAGCUUGCUCCUCUGACGUUAGCGGCGGACGGGUGAGUAACACGUGGAUAACCUACCUAUAAGACUGGGAUAACUUCGGGAAACCGGAGCUAAUACCGGAUAAUAUUUCGAACCGCAUGGUUCGAUAGUGAAAGAUGGCUUUGCUAUCACUUAUAGAUGGACCUGCGCCGUAUUAGCUAGUUGGUAAGGUAACGGCUUACCAAGGCAACGAUGCGUAGCCGACCUGAGAGGGUGAUCGGCCACACUGGAACUGAGACACGGUCCAGACUCCUACGGGAGGCAGCAGUAGGGAAUCUUCCGCAAUGGGCGAAAGCCUGACGGAGCAACGCCGCGUGAAUGAUGAAGGUCUUCGGAUCGUAAAACUCUGUUAUUAGGGAAGAACAAAUGUGUAAGUAACUAUGCACGUCUUGACGGUACCUAAUCAGAAAGCCACGGCUAACUACGUG